RNAcentral lists this ribosomal RNA (263 nucleotides) under uncultured bacterium. Its description in RNAcentral is "partial 16S ribosomal RNA". It matches the Rfam family "Bacterial small subunit ribosomal RNA", at positions 793 to 1055 of the family's 1533-position model. The record is from RNAcentral.
GUCCACGCCGUAAACGAUGAGAGCUAGUUGUCGGCAUGCAUGCAUGUCGGUGACGCAGCUAACGCAUUAAGCUCUCCGCCUGGGGAGUACGGUCGCAAGAUUAAAACUCAAAGGAAUUGACGGGGGCCCCGCACAAGCGGUGGAGCAUGUGGUUUAAUUCGAAGCAACGCGCAGAACCUUACCACCUUUUGACAUGCCCGGAUCACUCCAGAGAUGGAGCUUUCCCUUCGGGGACCGGUGCACAGGUGCUGCAUGGCUGUCGU